GAUGAACGCUGGCGGCGUGCCUAAUACAUGCAAGUCGAGCGAACGGACGAGAAGCUUGCUUCUCUGAUGUUAGCGGCGAACGGGUGAGUAACACGUGGAUAACCUACCUAUAAGACUGGGAUAACUUCGGGAAACCGGAGCUAAUACCGGAUAAUAUUUUGAACCGCAUGGUUCAAAAGUGAAAGACGGUCUUGCUGUCACUUAUAGAUGGAUCCGCGCUGCAUUAGCUAGUUGGUAAGGUAACGGCUUACCAAGGCAACGAUGCAUAGCCGACCUGAGAGGGUGAUCGGCCACACUGGAACUGAGACACGGUCCAGACUCCUACGGGAGGCAGCAGUAGGGAAUCUUCCGCAAUGGGCGAAAGCCUGACGGAGCAACGCCGCGUGAGUGAUGAAGGUCUUCGGAUCGUAAAACUCUGUUAUUAGGGAAGAACAUAUGUGUAAGUAACUGUGCACAUCUUGACGGUACCUAAGCAGAAAGCCACGGCUAACUACGU
RNAcentral lists this ribosomal RNA (496 nucleotides) under uncultured bacterium. RNAcentral describes it as "partial 16S ribosomal RNA". It matches the Rfam family "Bacterial small subunit ribosomal RNA", at positions 28 to 506 of the family's 1533-position model. The record is from RNAcentral.